RNAcentral lists this ribosomal RNA (266 nucleotides) under uncultured bacterium. RNAcentral's name for it is "partial 16S ribosomal RNA". It matches the Rfam family "Bacterial small subunit ribosomal RNA", at positions 1234 to 1500 of the family's 1533-position model. The record is from RNAcentral.
UCGCUACAGAGGGAAGCAAUACAGUGAUGUGGAGCAAAACCCUAAAAACGAUCUCAGUUCGGAUUGAAGUCUGAAAUUCGACUUCAUGAAGCUGGAAUUGCUAGUAAUCGCGGAUCAGCAAGCCGCGGUGAAUACGUUCCCGGGCCUUGUACACACCGCCCGUCACACCAUGAGAGUCGGGAACACCCGAAGUCCGUAGUCUAACCGCAAGGGGGGCGCGGCCGAAGGUGGGUCCGGUAAUUGGGGUGAAGUCGUAACAAGGUAAC